GAUGAAGAACGUAGCGAAAUGCGAUAAGUAAUGUGAAUUGCAGAAUUCAGUGAAUCAUCGAAUCUUUGAACGCACAUUGCGCCCGCCAGUAUUCUGGCGGGCAUGCCUGUUCGAGCGUCAUUUCAACCAUCAAGCCCCCGGCUUGUGUUGGGGACCUGCGGCUGCCGCAGGCCCUGAAAAGCAGUGGCGGGCUCGCUGUCACACCGAGCGUAGUAGCAUACAUCUCGCUCUGGGCGUGCUGCGGGUUCCGGCCGUUAAACCACCUUCAUAACCCAAGGUUGACCUCGGAUCAGGUAGGAAGACCCGCUGAACUUAAGCAUUCAAUAGCGGAGGA
Molecule: unclassified non-coding RNA, 334 nt
Filed under: soil metagenome
Description: partial contains 5.8S ribosomal RNA, internal transcribed spacer 2, and large subunit ribosomal RNA
Rfam family: 5.8S ribosomal RNA (bases 1-120)
Source: RNAcentral